ACAAGUAGGGCUUUUCGUUUGUGCUGUUGUUUCAUAACAGGUAAUGGUAUGUUGUUGGGAAACUAACCCUGGAAACAACAGAAUGAAAAAUAUCAGGACAAUGAAAGGAAAAUCAGACUGGAGACAAGAGUUGAGAACUGACCCAGUUGCUGCCUUCACUGCAAUGCGAGCCAGGACAUCAGCCAGGUUUUCAAAGGGGAAACAGGAAAGACUGUGGUAAUAUACCCAGCAUUUGGUGAGACAUACCUGGAGCUGAAUGAUCUUUUUUUACAUUUCCUGUGAAUCAGGCCUCAGAAUACAUGUCACAAGUCCCAGCAUCAUAAACUCCUAUGUAUUAAAAGAAAAAAAAAUCUGACAACGAUUAAAACAUUUUACAACUA
Sphaerodactylus townsendi is the source of this 380-nucleotide long non-coding RNA. RefSeq lists it as uncharacterized. The transcript is spliced from 2 exons. Lineage: Eukaryota; Metazoa; Chordata; Lepidosauria; Squamata; Sphaerodactylidae. The record is from RefSeq and is a predicted model, not a curated record.